AGUGAAAUGCGAACAGGAAGUGGGAAGGAGCAGCCUUUGUCUCUCCUGCCAGUGUGCUUCAGACAUUUGUGAAGAAGCAGACCUGCAUCAUAAAACCAACCGAAAGCCACGGAGUUACCUCUCUAAAAAAUGUAAUGGACUGUACUGAAAGCCUAACUUUGACUGAUGUGAGGUUUGGGACUUCAUCCAGGAGAUGCUGGCAUGUCAUAGUCCCUCUGACGAGCAGAGUGUAAUAAGCAACAGACACUGGGAAAAUACUUCCUAUCUGUUAGAAAAAGGUCCUUUUCAAGGCUCACAUGUUCAGAGGCCCUGACAUCAAUAAGAGCUGCCACAGAUCCUUUACAACAGACUAAUCAAAAUGAAAAAACCCAAACCUGUAGUAUGUGAGAAUCAGAUCUUUCUAUGGAAAAAGAGGCCUCUAACAUUGACUCCUCCACUCCAUUGGCCACAAAGCCUAUUCUGGAUAGGGAAAUGGAGAUGUUGCUGAGUUCUUUUAAUAGAAGUGGGAGCAU
This is a long non-coding RNA of Motacilla alba alba, 512 nucleotides long. RefSeq lists it as uncharacterized. NCBI's taxonomy places the organism in Eukaryota, Metazoa, Chordata, Aves, Passeriformes, Motacillidae. The transcript has 3 exons. The record is from RefSeq and is a predicted model, not a curated record.